GCCUCGGUAGUGUAAUGGAUAAACACAACAGGCUGGAUGCCUGUAGCAGCGGGUUUGAGUCCCACCUGAGUUU
This 73-nucleotide transfer RNA is filed under the name Dictyocaulus viviparus (bovine lungworm). It matches the Rfam family "tRNA". From Rfam's summary of the family: Transfer RNA (tRNA) molecules are approximately 80 nucleotides in length. Their secondary structure includes four short double-helical elements and three loops (D, anti-codon, and T loops). Lineage: Eukaryota; Metazoa; Nematoda; Chromadorea; Rhabditida; Metastrongylidae. The record is from Rfam by way of RNAcentral.